GGCAGGCUUAACACAUGCAAGUCGAGGGGCUUUUGGGGAGGAAGCUUGCUUUCUCCGCCGGCGACCGGCGCACGGGUGAGUAACACGUAUGCAACCUGCCCCUGUCAGGGGGACAACCCGCCGAAAGGCGGGCUAAACCCGCGUACAUGCCACCGGGGCAUCCCGGAGGCAGGAAAGGCUUCGGCCGGACAGGGAUGGGCAUGCGGCGCAUUAGGCAGUAGGCGGGGUAACGGCCCACCUAACCGACGAUGCGUAGGGGUUCUGAGAGGAAGGUCCCCCACACUGGUACUGAGACACGGACCAGACUCCUACGGGAGGCAGCAGUGAGGAAUAUUGGUCAAUGGUCGGGAGACUGAACCAGCCAAGCCGCGUGAGGGAGGAAGGUACAGAGUAUCGUAAACCUCUUUUGUCAGGGAACAAAAGCGGGGACGUGUCCCCGGAUGAGUGUACCUGAAGAAAAAGCAUCGGCUAACUCCGUGCCCAGCAGCCGCGGUAAUACGGGGGAAGCGAAGCGUUUCCCGGAUUUUUUGGGGUUAAAGGGGGGGCAGGGCGGUCGGUUUAGUUAAGCGGUCCAAAGCCCGGGGCUCAACCCCCGCCCCCCCGUUGAACCUGGCAGUCUCGAGUUGGAGAGAAAGUAUCGGAAAUGCGCGGUGUAGCGGGUGAAAUGCAUAGAUAUCGCGCAGAACUCCGAUUGCGAAGGCAGCAUGCCGGCUCCACACUGACGCUGAGGCACGAAAGCGUGGGUAUCGAACAGGAUUAGAUACCCUGGUAGUCCACGCAGUAAACGAUGAAUGCUGGCUGUCCGGGGGGAUUGACCCCUGGGUGGCGAAGCGAAAGCGAUAAGCAUUCCACCUGGGGAGUACGCCGGCAACGGUGAAACUCAAAGGAAUUGACGGGGGCCCGCACAAGCGGAGGAACAUGUGGUUUAAUUCGAUGAUACGCGAGGAACCUUACCCGGGCUCAAACGGGGAGUGACUCAGGCAGAGACGCCUGUUUCCCACGGGACACUCCCCGAGGUGCUGCAUGGUUGUCGUCAGCUCGUGCCGUGAGGUGUCGGCUUAAGUGCCAUAACGAGCGCAACCCCCGCGUGCAGUUGCUAACAGAUAACGCUGAGGACUCUGCACGGACUGCCGGCGCAAGCCGCGAGGAAGGCGGGGAUGACGUCAAAUCAGCACGGCCCUUACGUCCGGGGCGACACACGUGUUACAAUGGGUGGUACAGCGGGAAGCCAGGCGGCGACGCCGAGCGGAACCCGAAAUCCACUCUCAGUUCGGAUCGGAGUCUGCAACCCGACUCCGUGAAGCUGGAUUCGCUAGUAAUCGCGCAUCAGCCAUGGCGCGGUGAAUACGUUCCCGG
Molecule: ribosomal RNA, 1356 nt
Filed under: uncultured bacterium
Lineage: Bacteria
Description: bacterial SSU rRNA
Rfam family: Bacterial small subunit ribosomal RNA
Source: RNAcentral